RNAcentral lists this ribosomal RNA (1355 nucleotides) under Mycobacterium sp. Its description in RNAcentral is "bacterial SSU rRNA". It matches the Rfam family "Bacterial small subunit ribosomal RNA", at positions 77 to 1445 of the family's 1533-position model. Lineage: Bacteria; Bacillati; Actinomycetota; Actinomycetes; Mycobacteriales; Mycobacteriaceae. The record is from RNAcentral.
CCUUCGGGGUGCUCGAGUGGCGAACGGGUGAGUAACACGUGGGUGAUCUGCCCUGCACUUUGGGAUAAGCCUGGGAAACUGGGUCUAAUACCGGAUAGGACCACGGUCUGCAUGGAUUGUGGUGGAAAGCUUUUGCGGUGUGGGAUGGGCCCGCGGCCUAUCAGCUUGUUGGUGGGGUGAUGGCCUACCAAGGCGACGACGGGUAGCCGGCCUGAGAGGGUGACCGGCCACACUGGGACUGAGAUACGGCCCAGACUCCUACGGGAGGCAGCAGUGGGGAAUAUUGCACAAUGGGCGCAAGCCUGAUGCAGCGACGCCGCGUGAGGGAUGACGGCCUUCGGGUUGUAAACCUCUUUCAGCACAGACGAAGCGCAAGUGACGGUAUGUGCAGAAGAAGGACCGGCCAACUACGUGCCAGCAGCCGCGGUAAUACGUAGGGUCCGAGCGUUGUCCGGAAUUACUGGGCGUAAAGAGCUCGUAGGUGGUUUGUCGCGUUGUUCGUGAAAACUCACAGCUUAACUGUGGGCGUGCGGGCGAUACGGGCAGACUGGAGUACUGCAGGGGAGACUGGAAUUCCUGGUGUAGCGGUGGAAUGCGCAGAUAUCAGGAGGAACACCGGUGGCGAAGGCGGGUCUCUGGGCAGUAACUGACGCUGAGGAGCGAAAGCGUGGGGAGCGAACAGGAUUAGAUACCCUGGUAGUCCACGCCGUAAACGGUGGGUACUAGGGUGUGGGUUUCCUUCCUUGGGAUCCGUGCCGUAGCUAACGCAUUAAGUACCCCGCCUGGGGAGUACGGCCGCAAGGCUAAAACUCAAAGGAAUUGACGGGGGCCCGCACAAGCGGCGGAGCAUGUGGAUUAAUUCGAUGCAACGCGAAGAACCUUACCUGGGUUUGACAUGCACAGGACGCCGGCAGAGAUGUCGGUUCCCUUGUGGCCUGUGUGCAGGUGGUGCAUGGCUGUCGUCAGCUCGUGUCGUGAGAUGUUGGGUUAAGUCCCGCAACGAGCGCAACCCUUGUCUCAUGUUGCCAGCACGUGAUGGUGGGGACUCGUGAGAGACUGCCGGGGUCAACUCGGAGGAAGGUGGGGAUGACGUCAAGUCAUCAUGCCCCUUAUGUCCAGGGCUUCACACAUGCUACAAUGGCCGGUACAAAGGGCUGCGAUGCCGUGAGGUGGAGCGAAUCCUUUCAAAGCCGGUCUCAGUUCGGAUCGGGGUCUGCAACUCGACCCCGUGAAGUCGGAGUCGCUAGUAAUCGCAGAUCAGCAACGCUGCGGUGAAUACGUUCCCGGGCCUUGUACACACCGCCCGUCACGUCAUGAAAGUCGGUAACACCCGAAGCCGGUGGCCUAACCCCUUG